CUACCUACCUACCUACCUACCUACCUAUGUCCCAGUCACCCCCCUCUAUACAGUAUUUAAUUUGAGCUUUCAUGGGUUAAGCCCACUUGAGAGAACAGGACAAAUAUUUAUACCUGGCAUCAAAACACAGAGACCGUUAUCCCUGCGCAAGGUGUAUGCCUGUGGCUUGGCCUGCAUGGAUAUCCUGCAAUUCGUGCAUUCCCGUGUCCAUCCAUGGACAGGAUCCUGAGUCGGAAAGCCGAGUUGGAAAACAUGCCUGGUUAUGCUUACAAAGUCCCAGAUUCCUCCAGCCUGUUAGAUAUUAUGACAUUCAAGAUGAGAAUGGUCAAAAUCUGGGAGCUCCGAGUCCAGGAAAAGAAACGUUGUCGGCCUCUGGACGAAACAGGUCUCUUCUUACAAGCUGAAAACAGGCUGUCUGACUGCACAACCGGAUGUGCUAAUUUACAGCCACCCGUGCUGGUGGGACGCUAUGCAAGGAUUGUGAUCUUUCUGAAAAUAAAUGGCGCUUUUGUACAUUGACUCUUGAGUAUUCUGCUGGUUAUGGACACACACAAAAAUCACACACCCCCAUCGGCACCGCUGUAGUGUCGGAGAAAACUGCUUUUGGGGUUUCUUGAAGUGCAGUGGUGGAAACAUAUCUGGAAGUAUGUUUCAUGUGUCCCAAGCUAAUGGUUGGCCUUUCCAGUCAAAGAACAAGAUUAAUCACACCCACUUUUGACCAUAUUUUGCAACGAGAUAAAGAACUGUUUAUGAUACAAUGGUACACCACCCAGAGAAGACACACCUGUGACACUUUGGGUAGACGAUUUGGGAAAGAACCAGUCUUACAGCGUGAACAUCCUGCCCCUCAUUCAUUUCUGCAUACAGUGAAUAUUCUUAGAAAUUAGGUGAGAAUACCACCAAAUUGCACCAGGAGCUCACAAGAAAUUGACAUGUGUAGGCCACAUGUGAGAAUCUUGUGAGCCAAAGCAGUUCUACAGCAUCUCAUAGGUUAUGGAUAUGGGUGUAGGAUUGGGGGUAGUUAAACUUAAGCUUCAGAUGCACAUCCUCCCCUUCCUUAUUUGUAUGUAUUUUGGGUAUUGUUGGUACAGGUUUGAAUGGCUGGCCCUGUCUUGCAACUGUCCAAAUUAAAUGUUGAGAAAGAAUGACUGUAGCACAGUUGAUAAAGAACCCUCCAUUGUGCAAAGUCUUCGGCAGCCCGGAUGUUAUAGGACAUAAAACUGAAGUCCCAUCGUCAUUUUUUGAGAAGUUGGCUAGAACAGAUUUCAGCAUCGUGCUGAAGAGCCUCCUGGAUCUCCUAGAAGACUGAGCCAGACUGAAACAGCUGGAUCUUCAAAAUGGAGGUUUGGAUGCAUGGUUUGGGGUGGCCGGCCAUUUAUUCCAAGGGUACAUCAACACAUACCAGUUCUUUAUUCAUGAUUUGAGCUCAAAGAAAUUGAUGUGUAUGCCAUGUGUGAGCAUCUUGUGAACCCAAGGGGUGCUCUGCCAGACAUGAGGCUACGGGAUCCCAUGGACACCCUUUGCUGGAAAGCCAGGUCCCUUAUCAACAGCACCAGAUCCAAACACUGAAACCAGCUGCAGAGUAAAAUACUCCAACAGGCUAUUAAGGAGCAUUAGAUUACCGUAUAUUAGAUUGUUUUACCUGGCAACCCGCUUUAAUGAAUACUAUCUCUUGCUAUUGGUUUUUGAGGUUUCUACAAAGAGCCUUGUGGCACAAUGGUUAAAACGCUGUACUGCAGCUAAAACUGUGCUCACGACCUGGGGUUCAAAUCCCAGGUAGCCGGCUCAAGGUUGACCCAGCCUUCUAUCCUUCCGAGGUCGGUAAAAUGAGUACCCAGCUUGCUGGGGGACCAAUUAACUUGUAAACCGCCCAGAGAGUGCUUGUAGCGCUAUGGGGCGGUAUAUAAAUCCAAUAAAUAAAUAAAUAAAUAAAUUCUAAGGGUAUUU
Molecule: long non-coding RNA, 1947 nt
Filed under: Pogona vitticeps (central bearded dragon)
Lineage: Eukaryota; Metazoa; Chordata; Lepidosauria; Squamata; Agamidae
Description: lncRNA (ENSPVIG00000019216.1)
Source: RNAcentral